Molecule: long non-coding RNA, 345 nt
Filed under: Carica papaya (papaya)
Lineage: Eukaryota; Viridiplantae; Streptophyta; Magnoliopsida; Brassicales; Caricaceae
Description: long non-coding RNA (CPAP_LNC001647)
Source: RNAcentral
AAUAAGGACUUGACAACUAGUACAGUCUGUCAACUAUGUAUUGUAGAGAUUGCCAACAAAGAGUUACCAAUAGAUCUCAUACUCUUAGACAUACACGAUUUUGAUGUCAUACUAAAAAUGGAUUAGUUAGCAGUAUACCAUGCCAAUAUAGAUUAUCAUGGAAAGACAGUGACUUUUAAUAUUCCCAAUGACAAGGCCUUCAAAUUCAAAGGGAUUAGGGAGCCCCAAUAUCCAUGUCUCGUAUCUUGCAUUCAAGCUCAACGAUUACUUGAGAAGGGAUGUGUAGGGUAUUUGGUGUACAUAGUGGAGAAUAGAAAUAGAGAAGUCAAUCUACAAUAGAUACCA